RNAcentral lists this long non-coding RNA (4433 nucleotides) under Sus scrofa (pig). RNAcentral's name for it is "lncRNA (ENSSSCG00005044453.1)". The record is from RNAcentral. Lineage: Eukaryota; Metazoa; Chordata; Mammalia; Artiodactyla; Suidae.
UUUUUUUUUUUGGUUGUUGUUGUUGUUGUUGCUAUUUCUUGGGCCGCUCCCGUGGCAUAUGGAGUGGCUCUAGAAAAGACAAAAAAAAAACAAAAAAACAAACCCUCUUUCUUUAUUUGGUUGUUCACAUGAAUUUAAGAAGAUAAUACAGGUAAAACUUUUAGUAUAAAACCAAUACAUUUAUAGAACAAUACUUUCAAGAACAACUAAGCAGAAAAGAAACAGGGAAAUAAAUGGCAUGGCAUUACAUACAUCAACAGAAAUUUGAUUCCCCACCCUGGAGAACAGAAACGAUUGCAAAUAACAGUACAGCAAAGACAGGUUUGAGCUCUUUGGUUCAGUCAUUCUAGGCUCCUGAGUCAUGGCAGAUGCACAGCCUACAUGAGGCUGAGCCACACGUGAAAGCUGUUUCCACCCACAGACUGGUGGAGCCCACUGAUACACUUAAUGACAAGGAUGAUAAAAAUACCUGCCAUGGGCCAGGCACAUGCUAAGCAGUCCAUGUAGGUUAUUUUUAUUUAAUUCAAACUGCAAAUCUGUGAGGCAGGUAUUCCUGUUCCCAUUUUACAGAGGUAGAAACUGAGAGGUGAAGAAGUUAAAUAAUUUCCCAAGAACAUCCCCACUCACUUGUGUACAUACGCAAAGAAGCAGAGCUGGGAUUCAAACCCUGGCCUGACGGCAGACCGAAGCAAAACUGUAGGAGCUGUCCAUGUUCCGGAAAAACCUGAUAGGGUAAUCUUUAAAUCUACGUCGCUAGGGGCAAGGGCCACUACUGUGUAUCUUCCAGGGGAGCGGUCCUCAGGCAACAGGAUGAAUAGGGCAGCUGGAAAGGGCAUCUGCAACCCCUCCCCCACAGGGCAAAAAUUGGGCUUCCUUUUUCCAAGGGGUCUUAGGGAGACCCCUCCCAUAUCCAGUUUGCAGGCCUGAGCUACAGACUCCUGCGGCAGAGUGAGGGCUCAGCUCUGCUCAGGGACAGAGAGUUCUAGAGUACCCACUUGCCACCUGGGUGGUUGCCCCACUGCCCUCCCCACUCCAAGGGCAGUCUCUGGGGUCCCGGGAGGGGGCAGGGUGUGAAGAGGGAUCUGGCCAGCAGCAGUCAAGGGGUGGGCCUGCAGAAGAGGAGCGCUGGAGGCAUACCACGCCCAGCCCUACUCUGCCUCUCAGAACACAAGGAAGGAAGUUCCCUGCUUCUGCUACCACAAGUGUCCCUCCCUGAGGACUCUUAAGGCCCUGGACUGAGGGUCCUGUGUGCUGAGGAAGCCCUAAUCUCCAAGCCUCUGCCAUUGCCAGGACCAGCUGCCAAAGGAUUAGACUCAGAACUGUUUCUGUAUAUUUAACUUUUUUUCCUGGAGACCAACAAGAAUCCUGGGGAGAGAACACUGGCCUGGGAUUCCAUGAGCCAUGGUUCCUAUUUCUGGCUUUGCCUCUAACUCUCCACAUGACCUCAAGUAAGUCACUUGACCUCCCUGGUCUAGACUGUCCUUCCUGUUAAAUGGGAAUAAUUACAUAAUCAUCAUCAUAGCUGACAGUCCCUGAAGUCUUACUCUGAGCCAGCCCUACGCUAGAUGCAUCAUCGCAUUCAUCCUCAGAGUAUCAUUUGAGGAAGGGAGGUACUAUUUUCAUCCAAUUUUCAGAAAAGUGUGGAGGAACAGGGAAGUUAGGGGACAUGCCCACAGUCACAUGGUUAGUAAAGGUGGAUCUGGCUCUCUCGGUGGCUCUCAGAGCUUUUUCUAAGCUCUUCACCACUGUGACAUAUAGAGUUACUCUAUAAAGUAUUAGGGACACUUGCAAAAAUGUUCUGAAAGCAGAAAAGGGAGGGAGGGGCCAAAAAUACAAAUACAGAUCACAACCCCCUGGACAUGAGUGAAGAUAGAAUCCUAAUCCCCUGAAGCACAUUCUGUGGAGUCUGUCCACGGAAUCGGAGCCCUCCAGGACGGGGAAGACCCCAGGAAGUCACUUUUCUCUUUCUCCUUCUCUUUGGGCAAGAAUGCCAUGACUAGACAAAUUCUACAGGUUGAGACCAGAAAGGUCAAGCAAGGGUGACCAGGUUAGGGCCUCAGCUGUCAGGUGAGGAGGGAGACAGAACCAGGCCUCCCCCUUCCUAGAGGAGAGGAGAGUGAUGGUAAAAGGCUCAUUUGUGUCAAGGUGGAGGCGCUCCAACCAAAAUUUAAACAUUUUAAUGUAAUACUCCAGUAUAUCUUUUCUAAUCUUAAAAACAAAUUUUAGGUGGAAUUCCCGUCGUGGCUCAGUGGUUAACGAAGCCGACUAGGAACCAUGAGGUUUAGGGUUUGAUCCCUGGCCUCGCUCAGUGGGUUAAGGAUCUGGCGUUGCCACGAGCUGUGGUGCAGGUCGCAGACACGGCUCAGAUCCCUAGCUGCUGUGGCUGUGGUGUAGGCCAGCAACUACAGCUCCGAUUGGACCCCUAGUCUGGGAACCUCCAUAUGCCACGGGUGUGGCCCUAAAGAGGCAAAACAAAAACAAACACAAAAUUUUAUUUCACUAAAAAAAACUGGUUAAUAUUGAGUUCUAAAUGUAGUUGGUCCUCUCCCGGCAAAGCUCUUUAUCAGGGUUCAUAGCUGCGGACGACAGAAUUAAUGGUGGUUAAUACUUCCAGGAAGGGGACUCUACAGAAGGACAGCGAGUAGAUAAAAAGGCUCUCAGGGAGGCCUGCAGAUUUAGAGGCCAACCAGCCAGGAACAACGUCUCAGCCACACCUUAGAGCUGGGCUGAGAACCCCAUCCCAGCUCCUCCUCCCUCUGCUGGCUCUGCUCCUCCCACUCUCCUCCAGGCUCCCUGGUGCACCCCGCCUCCUCCAGCUUUGCAAACAAUCCCAACUCAGGGCUAUGAACUCGCUGUUCCUUCUGCCUGGAACACAGACAUUCACACUGCUUGCCCCCUGGCUUCACCCAGAUUUCUGCUCACAUACCCGCGCCCUCCUCAGAGAAGUCUUCCUGGGCUGCCUUGUCACGCUAUCCCCUCUCUCUGCCUCACUCUUCUCACAGCACCUCCCGCGUUUCAGACACUGAAUUAAGCAUUGCCUGUAUCUCAGAUCAAACUGCAAGCUCCAUGAGGGCAGGCUGUUUUGUUGGUUGCCGUAAGCCCCCAGACUGCUAUGUUUCCGGUGCUUAACUAUUUGCUGAAUACUUUAUGAAGGAAUAAACAAAAGAAUAACUGGAAAACUUCAAGUAGAUGGGGCUUUUGAUGUGUUUGUGGGAGGUGAGCACCGCGUCUCACUCCUCCCACAAACCUGAUCCUUCUCUUGGAAAACUUCAACAUGAACCAAUGUGUCAUGUUCUCCAGCCUGUGCUGGAAGUUUAGGGUAGCAGCAAGAGUCAACUUGUACUGUGGCUGCAGCUGUGCUGUCAUGCUGCCCAGAUCUCGAUCAGCUCUACGGAUCCCACUUUGGAGGGAAGACUUGCCCGGGGACCUGUAGCUCCAAAACUCCCCUGACAGUCUCUGCAGCUCUUGGAACUUGUCUGGACUGUUGCUAUGCAGACCAUGAAGGCCUGGCUGGGUUCCUGCCCCUGCUUUCCAGGCCUUGGACAGGCUGGGGAGUGACCUNNNNNNNNNNNNNNNCGGUUCAGCCCAGGGAGUGACACUAACAAACAAAUGCAGUCAUGUAUAGAUUCAGAGGGUCAUACAAGGUCAGAGUGGGGUGAAGCCUUGGUAAUCUGGAGACAGCCUGUCCUCUGCAGAUAACGCGAGCCAGUGCAGGUAUAAGAGUGUGUGUGGACUCUGGGGUCUGGCAGAUCCAACCUCCACCAGCCAUGUGACUUUGGAGACUCAUUCAAAAAGACAAUAUUUGAAAAGCACUGCUUUUCUCAGGUGUAAAAUGGAAAUAAAAGUCCCUACUUUAUACAGUAAGCUUGUCCUCCUGUUCAAAAGUCUUUACUUCCUAUUCUUUAUGAUAUUAAAGUCAAACUCUUUGGCUCAACAGUCAAAUUGCACUACUACCAAAAUCCAGCCAACCCAGCAUAUCGGGCAUAGUCCCUCCAACUCCUCCUGAAGCUACUGCUCCCUCUCAAAUCCUUGCGCCUGGAGCCACCACCCAAUGCCUUCUCUCCUACCUGAGUCUACCAAACCCCACGGGUAGGCCUCAUGAAGUCUUCCCUGACCUGGGCUUUUCUGGGCCCUCACUGGUGUAAGUACUGAAUGUUAACAGAUAGCAACAAAGUUUUGACUCUCCAACCAGAAGGUGGGAUCUGUGAGGGCAACCAUCUCUUUUAUAAUGUUUCCCUCAACCAAGUAUUAAAUAAUACAUAAAAAUUCUUGACUGACUCACCUGCAGUUAGGAUUCAGUUAAAAUGAUCCCAAAUAUUACCUCUGUUACCCAAGAAAGGAAAAUAGAUAUAGAAAUAAAUUAAAUUGGGAGUUCCCAUCGUGGCGCAGUGGUUAACGAAUCUGACUAGGAACCAUGAGGUUGCGGGUUCGAU